Chrysolophus pictus (golden pheasant) is the source of this 2653-nucleotide long non-coding RNA. Lineage: Eukaryota; Metazoa; Chordata; Aves; Galliformes; Phasianidae. The record is from Ensembl.
GAUUAGAUUAUUUGUAUGAACAAGGGCUGUAUUCCUGNNNNNNNNNNNNNNNNNNNNNNNNNNNNNNNGCUGUACACUCUGGGGGAUUCAUGCUCCCAGAGGCGUGGAUCUAUGGAAGCAAUCAAGCAAAUCUGACUUAACAUUGCUUAAGAAGGGAAAUUUGCUGUGCCUGUCUGUCACUUGGGUGUGUUACCCACUGUAGUCAUUUUGUUACUCGUCUUAACUUACAGGAGCAAAGUUUUCGAUACCAAAAUAAAGCUUUCAGAUCUGAUUUCACAGAAAUAGCAGUCAGAAGUUUUCACAGCUCCACCUCAUUUAAAAAAAAAAAACAAAAAAAAAAAACAAAACAAACAAACAAACAAAAAAACGUUAUUAAGGAAGCUGGAGAUGAAACAUUUAAAACAAAAACAAAAAACCAAGAACCAAAACACCAGGUUGCUUAAUUGCAUGGACUUCUCUCAUUGCACAUCUAAUACAGCAGAUUGCACUGAACAAGACUUUUUAAAUUAAGCAUAUGUCUGAACAGACAGAAAAAGAUAUGCUGGCUUCACUGUGUUUUCUUGCUAGUAGAAUAGUUAGUCCUCAGUUUCGAAUGGUCUGAUGAGAAAGACGCUCUUUGGGGCAGAUAUACUAUUUUAUGAGGAAAUAGUCCUUAUAAACAGUGGAGGAAAUUCAGCUACAAGCCAUGUUCUAUAUAAUUAAUGGUUUAACUAUACAUAGAAUAACUGUUCAAUUUUAUCGCAGAACCAUAAGGAAAAAAAAGAUUAACCCAUAUAUGUACGACUUCAUGGUAACUGGCAGCCUUAGAAUGAAUCACGGAAUUGUAGUCAUCGCUCCAUUAAAAGAAAUGAAAGUGAUCUCAACAAUUAAUGCAUUUAUCAUGAUUUCCCAGAUAUGGUUACAUAUGAACACAAUGACAGAAAGCAUUAUGGUUGUCCAUUAGCAAGGAAUUAAAUACAGCUAAGAGAAGUUAUAUUCACUUAAAAAUUGUACAUAUAAAAUAUAUUCAUAUUUGAAGAUUAUCCUUUUUUUGGAGGUUGGAUGACAGAACAACAUAGACUAAAAGAACACUGCAGUGGGAUGCUUGUGUUGUAUCAAAGUAACUUUUGAACUAUUAAUAAGGUGAACAAAUGCUUUUAUUUUUUUCCCAACAAUCCAUGUCAUGUAACUAUUAUUUUAAUAAGAUGUAUAAAUACUUCAAUAUGUUUCUGUUACAGAAAAUGUCUGUUACAAGCCCACUAUUUACGUUCCCAGUUGCCUUACUUAGUUAUAGAGUAAUUGAAAUCAUACACUUGAAAAGUAUUUUAAAGUAUUUUAAGCUGGAGAAACAUCAGAAGUUCUGGUGCACAAAAUCUUGAGUGUCCUUAAAUGAAACAAAAUGCAGUUUUACAAAUACUGCUAUUUUCUGCUGCUUUUAACAGCAUUUCUCAUACUAAAACAGUUUGAACUGAGAUUCACGUAUAGAAAGAAAUGGGUUUGGUCACUUUUCUUUCUUCAUCUUAUUGUUCCCAGCCAGAGACAUCCAGUUGUCUCCAAAGCACCCACAAGUUGUUCCCAUGGAAAUGCUGGUGCUGGCACUCACAGUACCAUUGCUGGUUGAAGCAAUGUCUAGGUCUAGGAACUUCCUUACAUCAAAAAACUUUUACAAUGAACUCUUCUUGAAUACAUAAUGUACUAUCAUCUACUUAUCUAUAGAAAAAAUAUCUGAAUAGAAAUGGAAAUAAUAUUUGUUUAACCACCAUAUUGUUUUGUUAAAUAAUGUCCUGUGAUCCGCAUCAUUCAGUAAGGUGUGUAGAUGGCUGAUGUUUAACUUGCAGGCUCCCAGUGCUCCUCAGAACGCAUUAAAACAUUUUGUAUCUAUUCUAAGUACCCUUAGCAGACUGAACUUUGGUAGGAGUAAGAACAAUUUUAACAGAAAUUCAAUCUCAGCAGACAGAUAAAAUGCAGGAGAAUGUAAUGGCUGCUUGAUGCUACCUAAAGAUUAUCCCAGGACAACAACAUUUUUAAAUACCUGCAGAAUUUCCUUAGGACUACAUCAAAGGAAAUGCAUGGAGCCAUGAAGUUCUGUAGCAGUGAGGUCUAAAUUAAUGAGGCAACUUCAGCUGCACAGCAAUGAAAAAAAUCUUGCAAGGACUGUAUGUUUACAACUGUGAGAAAAGAUGGUGGUUCAGAACAAAUGCCUGAUUGUCUGAUUACACAAUGCAGCAAAGCAUACCUUGAUUGUUGAAAGCAGCAAGACACAUGAAUGUAAGAUGCAUGCAAUUUUAUAUGUUUAUCUAACCUCACUAUUUCCUAAUCUCGCAGAACUUGAAAUAAUGGCAGGUGACAGCUCUGUGUGUUCAAGCAAUAAGUUAUGUAAUAUAGCAACUAGUUAAUCCUCCGCAGUUGCAUAAUAACAAUUCCCAUGCUGCAUGUCUAGAUUGCAAACCCAUGUUGUGAAUCUGCAAAUGCAGGAACUUCACUGUUACAUCUUUCCAAAUUGCUUCCUCUCUCAAGUGUACAGGACUGCAGUGAGUCUCAUCAUGGUAUUAUUCUAAACAUCCUUAAUAGUUCAUAUUCUAAAUGACACUAAGAUACAGUGAGUCUCUUUAAAUGAAGAUCUCAGAAGAAUAGCUGCUGAAUAAAAGCUAUUAGUUGCUAUAAAAGUGGAACA